GUGAAGACUUUUAAAAUAGAGACCAACGUGGCCGGGCAGGAAGAGCAGGGUCCCGCCUUCAGGUGUUUGGGACUCAGCUGAGGGUGUGGGUGCCCCGCGGUGGGGGCUGAACCUUCCUGGGGUGUGGAGAGACGAAAGGAGCCCAGAUCCAAGUUCCCUCGUUCCCGCUUUGGCAUAAGUUGCCCUGGCGGUCUCAUGAGAGAGAGAAAGAGCUGGGACCCUCCUCGCCCCAGUGAGUGUGAUGUCUUGCUCCGGGUGUCCUGGGGCAACUUUCUAUACAGGCGGGACGUGGGAGGAUCAGACAGUGUAACAUCAGACAAGGGUGUUGACUCUGCAGCACAGAACCAGUAGUUUGUGGAGAAGAAUGGAGGUGUGGUGUUGAAUCUGCUAGACAGGCUACUGAAGCAAAAGUCAAGAGAUCCAGAUUCCAUCAUGGGGACACUUUAGUUCUUCAUCGGGUAAUUGAGCUGAUAUCAGGUGUCUGAAGGAGGCAAGUUUUGAAGAUGUGGGUCAUGAUGGCUGCUGAAGCUUCCACUCCAUAUUUGAAGGUCAGCAGUUCUCAGGAAACCUCUAGCACUUCCAUCCCUGGUGGGAUGUGAUGCCUGUCUCAGUGUAACAUCAGAGAAGGGGUGUACUCUGUGCCCUAGAACUAGGAGCUAACAGAGAAAAACCAAAUGUGAUGUGGAGUCUGCUAGACAGGCUACUGGAGCAAGAGUGAAGCGAUGAAAGUCUCAUCAUUGGGACAUAUUAGUGUGACAUGCAUAAAGGAAUUUCUUAUUGAGCCCCAGGAAGAAGAAACACUACAUAAGAGCAAAUAAUAAAAUCGGUCAGAUAGACAGAAGAUGGGAGUCAUCAAACCUGUAUCCCUCUUGCCAGACCUAUCAACUGACCAUACGUCAUUCAGGAGGCAGCAGGUGGCUGAAAUCCUGGUGUGAUGUGGCUGGAUCAUGCAUGAUCUGAGGACUCCUGCACAGGUGACUGCAGGAUGAGUACAGAAUUUUUCUAUAAAUAUACUAAAAUACCAAGUAAGCCAGGAGCAGCCACUAGGCAAACACCAAACCUUGCAUUCCUGGCCAAACCUAUCACAGAGCUCAUCAGGUAAGUUCAAAGACACACCUGUCUUCCCAGCAUUGGGAACUGGAUUGGGGUCUACUCAGAGGCAUGAUGUUGACCAGAUUUUAUGAAACACCCAAGAAUGUAGAGAACAUUCUGUCUUUAAAACCUUGAAUUCAAAACAUAUCAGAGAGAGAUUUACUUCCCUUAUAUGGAUGUCUGUGUUCUCAUUAGGAGAGAAACAAUGAAAAAUGACUUUUCACAAUGCCUGCCUUAGCCGUGAGGCUCAGCCAACCCCCACUUCUAUGUCUCAGCAUUUAAAGGGCAAUUGAAGUCCCACUCCAUGCUAUAUACUCUCAAGAGGUUUUCUCAUUUACCCUUCAGAACAGCUCUGUAAAGAUGGUAUGGUCAGUCCCAUUUCACAGAUGACUAAGCUCAGGCUCACAGAGCCUAAGUCACCCCUCCAGGUAAGUGGCAGGGUUGGAAUGAGGUUCUAUUCCUCACCCUCCCUAGAGAACCCUGAGCAGCUUCCGUUUUAGAAGAUGGGUUUCCAGGGCUUGAGAAAUGGUCAGAUUCCCCCCUGAUAUUGUGGCCCCACAGGUCCUCACUCCACAACCCCUCUGGGUGAUGAGGAAGACAGAAGAGGUGAAAUCCUGCGCUUUGUGCCAUGAGAUCUGGGUGUAGGGCCACAGGAGUUAGCUAAUCCUUGAAGUGGUGAGUGGGCUCAGGCAGAAGCUCAAGUGUUGGCCUUGGGACAG
Molecule: long non-coding RNA, 1811 nt
Filed under: Homo sapiens (human)
Lineage: Eukaryota; Metazoa; Chordata; Mammalia; Primates; Hominidae
Description: HSALNT0284961
Source: RNAcentral